CAACCCCCGCGUUCUAGAUGGACCAAAAGACUCCUUUCCAGAUCCAGCAAGCAGCACAGGAGCAAAGCAGCAGGCCGUAGCCUCGCCAUUUGCAACCGCACUUGGAUGCUUUUCGAGCCUGCUCCCUCCAGGACAGAACGGGGAGCGUCACCAGGAUCCAAAUGGCUACAAGAACAGACUCUGAGAAACCAUGUAAAUGUCCCUAAUGGAUGCACAGCUGGCAAGCUGGUAGGGUGAGGGCAGUUUCCAGCACAUCAUCUCCAGUCUCGCGGAGCCACACACACAUGGUGUUGGGCAGAGAUGGACUUCCACUUGACCCCGACCACUGACAUCUGACCUUUUGCAUCUGUGAGAGCAUGUGCUUAACACUUGUCAGCUGCACUUGCUUGAAGGAAGGGAAGUGGGGACAGGAGGAGAUAAAGACAACACCAUUCCAAAAAUAGGCCUCUGCAUCUUCUUGCCAACCUUCUCUCUUCCCGGAGGCCCCCUGGGACUUCCGUCAAAACCUACCCAAGCGUGUGCCCAGCUCCCAGCUCCCGGCCAGGCCGCUGGCGCCGUGAUGAGCCAGAACCGGUCUCUGUGCGCGGCCCGCAAAGACCCCGCCUGGGGGCCCUCCGGGCUUGUCACGAGGCCCACGCUCGAGGUCUCUUUCCAACCUCUCCUUGAGAGCUGGGGACACAACCUUUUGAGUGACAUGUACGGAUUCUUUUCUGUGCUGGAGACAAUCCACGCACCUGUCAGUUGGAAAGCAGCUUCCCCACAACGUUCUAUACCUGAACUAUGGCAAAGGUCACACGACUCUAUACGAUUAUGGCAGAGAGUCACCCCACAGUAUACUCAGAACGGGUGAAUUUUAUGGGAUGCAAACUAUACCUCAAUAAAGCCGUCUCAAGAAAAAGUCAGCGUCCACCUCACCUGGAUGUUUCUGUUCAGCACUGGACCUGAAGUGGGGGCCUGUGUUGUCUCUACAUGUGGACAGCCUCUUGGCCCCUGUGGUUCAGAGGCUGGAACAGAGACUCUGCCGAGGGGGAGGCUGGGGCCAGGGUUCCAGGGUGAGGAGGAACCUGGUGAAGGGGCUUCCAGGGGACAGGCUUCCCGCCAGCAGCAGGAAGAGAGGACACUGACAGGGAAAAGAAAGGGCACCCAGAGGAAGGUGGGUGAGCUACACAGCACGCCAGGGUGAUGGGGGGGCUGGGUGGGGGAGUGGGAGGAGUUUCAUGUUAGAUUGAGCCAUCUGCCACUGCCAGUUUUGUAGGUCAAAACGGCUGAACACUGGCCCAACCUCACAUGUCCGUGUGUGCUAUGGAUGGGGAGUUCAGACUCCGGGGUCUGCUUACAGGCUGAGUGACCGAGGGCUCAUCACUUAAACUCUACGGGCCUGCAUCUUCUCACCUAUAAACAGGAUGGCACAGCCACACCCCGGAAGCACACUUUGAUUUCCACGUUUUAAUACAUACACAACGCCCAGCACAUGGCAGGCUCACCAAGGGCUCAAGGAGGGAGCAUCCUUCUUUCCUGCUCCCCCACCCGCCUCUUCGCCUUACGUGGCCGCCUCCAGAGCAGGCAGAAGAGCAGAAUGAAGCUUGCACGGCCAGCCUCCCACAGGCAUCUCUCUUCCCUUGUAAGACCAGUCCCCGAAUAUGUCAGGACAGUUCUGCUUGGCGAAGGAGACCCCCACUUUCCUGAUGUUACUACAGAAAUACGAGAGCGCCGACUGUCCCUGGGGCCCAGGGCUGUGGCUGGCAUCCUCUAUGUGGGGGAACCAGGAAAUCAAACCAAAAGACAAAUGGCCCAAAGGCAGAGCCGGGGGCAAAGUGAACCAAAGGCCCUGGUUACCGACACACCCAGUGGGUAAGGGUGUUCGCUGCCAGGAGCCACCAGGUGGGCCUGGGUGGCCUCUGCAAAGCCAUCAUGCAAGGCCGUGAGUGCUCAUGGCCAGCUGUGCUAAAGACUAUGGGAGGUCAUGUGGAGAAAAGGCACACGCACCACUCAGCUGGGGCCCAGGAGGACACUCGCCAGGAGCAAAGUGAUCUGAUGCUCAGCUGCCCCCGACGUGGUGCCCCCAGAUGCUGCUGCAGCCGAGGGCCACGGCGCUAAAAUACAACUUCUCUACAAGAAGUGUCCUGGGCUGGUCACUCGGUGUACUCUUCCUUCAGUCUGCAGGCAACUUUAGCUAAUGUCAUAUAGGCAGGAGCAAGGACAGCCAGACUCCAGUGGGAGCAGGGUGAGAGGAGAUGCUGCAGAGGAAAGCUUCGGUUCCUUCUGUAGAAGCCUCUACUGUGUGGGGUCCUUCCUGCAUUCCUGGACCCUCACCUGUUUCUAGGAGGCCAGAGACCUACGCUAGCCAAGUGUCUGCUGGAACAGGUCCCAGCCAGCUAGUGCACUGUCCUUGGGGCCGGUGAGCUGAUGUCCAUGAGCCAUGGGUGCAGGUCAAGGCACACAACUGUGGCAGGGAAGAAAUCCAUCAGCCUGUUUAACUCUCCCGGUGAGUUAGCUGGGCAGGUAUGAAUUAAGCUCUGAUUUUCUGCAAUGGAGGACAUUUCAUUCAGUCUUUCAAAGGCACACCGAGUGUCCAAGCCUGGGACUUAGAAACCUUGCCCUCUCGGGCUCCAUAGACCCGUGGGAGGUAUGAAAACAGAUACAAAACAGGACAUGCCGGAGAGAUACACCACAGUGUGAAUCAAAGUGUAGUACAAUCCAGCGGAAGGGACACUCGUUCACUCAAAAGGUUCUUAACUUUCUUGCCAAUAGAUACCACAAUACCAUGACGGUGUGGCUUCCAAAUUUACUAAGGAGAGACCCCCAGCAAGUCUGGCCUACGAUUCAGGCGCCUAAGCCUGACAAAGCAGUGGCCUCGCCUGCCUCCACACUUGCAUAUGAGGGGUUGGGAGGGCUCAUUCUUAAGGGGGGGAAAAAACGUGCUCUUGGCUUAAUGCCUCAGAGUAAUAAACCACCCUUUAAAAUCGCACCAAAAUGAUCACGUGUUGUCACUGUGGUGGCUCUGAGCUGGCAGCCAGAGCUCUGUCUCCAGCAGCUGCUCAGAGCCGAUGGCACUGCCCGGGCACCGCAGGGGGCAGCUUCC
This is a long non-coding RNA of Herpailurus yagouaroundi (jaguarundi), 3082 nucleotides long. RefSeq lists it as uncharacterized. The transcript is spliced from 3 exons. NCBI's taxonomy places the organism in Eukaryota, Metazoa, Chordata, Mammalia, Carnivora, Felidae. The record is from RefSeq and is a predicted model, not a curated record.